Long non-coding RNA from Xenia sp. Carnegie-2017, 265 nucleotides. RefSeq lists it as uncharacterized. The record is from RefSeq and is a predicted model, not a curated record. The transcript is spliced from 3 exons. Lineage: Eukaryota; Metazoa; Cnidaria; Anthozoa; Malacalcyonacea; Xeniidae.
UAGUGAAAAAAAAGUUAAAUUAUUUGAAAUAGGUUGUGAUGAGAAUGAUGCCAAUCAUUUUGCUAAGCUUCUGGCUAUGAACUGGUCAAAGAUAUUCGUACCUAGUGCUUGUGGUACUUGCUCUUGUGGUGCUGCUUGGGAUAAGCGUGAUGUAUCAGAUGACUGGCUGGAUGAGGAAGGCUGUCAUGUGGCGUAUCUUUAUGAUUUCCACUGUGUGAAUGUGUAUUAUCGACCGUGUUCUACAUGCACAAACAAGAAGCGGUAC